AUACGAAGGGUGCUAGCGUUGUUCGGAAUUACUGGGCGUAAAGAGCAUGUAGGCGGAUUGAUUAGUCAGAGGUGAAAGCCCCGAGCUCAACUUGGGAAUUGCCUUUGAUACUGUCAAUCUAGAGACCGAGAGAGGUGAGUGGAAUUCCCAGUGUAGAGGUGAAAUUCGUAGAUAUUGGGAAGAACACCAGUGGCGAAGGCGGCUCACUGGCUCGGUACUGACGCUGAGAUGCGAAAGCGUGGGGAGCAAACGGGAUUAGAAACCCCAGUAGUCC
Molecule: ribosomal RNA, 274 nt
Filed under: uncultured bacterium
Lineage: Bacteria
Description: partial 16S ribosomal RNA
Rfam family: Bacterial small subunit ribosomal RNA
Source: RNAcentral